Molecule: long non-coding RNA, 2775 nt
Organism: Phoenix dactylifera (date palm)
Lineage: Eukaryota; Viridiplantae; Streptophyta; Magnoliopsida; Arecales; Arecaceae
Source: RefSeq, a predicted model, not a curated record
AGCUCUUUCUCAUCUCUCCCCUCAAUAAUAUAAAGCAAUAUAAAGUAGAUACAGAUAGACAGAUGGUAAAAGAAGUAAAGAACAUCUUAUAACAAUAUCAAUUUUUCCUUCCUCCAACUGAUUGCAAAAACAAUCCAAGGCCCUCACAAGGAAAUGGUGUCUCUCUACACAGUUAAAAUUGGCAAUCGUCUCCGAGCAAGCAUUCUCCGGAAGAGGAAAUGAUGGUAUACGGAAGAGGAAUGCGUUCCACGGAGGGCAUCCCCUCCCGCUCGCGCUACCCCUCCCCGCUACUUCCCACAUCACGCAUAGCUCCUGGAUCCGGCUCCUUCUACCGCUCCCAUCUUUCCCCUCUCCGGCGACCUAUGCCGCGCCCGUUCCUUCUCUUCCGGCAUCUCAGAGCUUCCAUUUUCGGGUGAUUUCUCGCAGCCCGCGGGAGGGAUCAGCCUCGUGAUGUUCGGCGCCCAGAUGAGCUUGGAGGAGGCCGAGAGCUUGCAUAAGAGAAAUGGAUAUGUUCAAUGUUGUGCCUCCAAUAGCUAGUUCUGAUCCAGUCCAGAAGCAAACUUCAGAUGGGUCAGAGGGAGGGAAAUAUGUGUGGUGGUUGAUAAUUGUAUUUUUUGUAUUGCUAGUUAUCACAAUAUUAUAUUACUAUUGUCGCGGUUGGUUAAUUAGAAUUCAAGACAAUGAAGAGAGAUCUAGGAGAGGUGACUUGAGAGAGAUUGAAUUAUUUCCAACAUCUUCAUAUUUAUCUCGAGAGACAAAAUCAUUAGUUGAUGAGGUUUGGGGUAGUGAUGAGAGAGAUCAUGAGGAUAUAGAGAGUUGUGCUAUAUGUUCUUCAGGGUUCAAGUUUGGAGAAAUGAUUCGAACAUUGCCAUGUAGCCACUUUUAUCAUACAGACUGUGUUAACAAAUGGUUGAUGACUAGAGCAACAUGUCCGCUAUGCCGGCGUAAUUUUUCACAAUAGCUUGUAUGAGUGCAAUACGUGCUUCAUGUUAGAUGGCAUGCUUAAUAGUAGUGCACUCAUACAAGCUAGUGUAAAAAAUCUUACUAGUAUUGCAACUCUGGUCAUCUAUCAUCUAUUAAUGCAGAAUGUGGUAUAAAUACCUACAUAGCAUUGUUUGAAUCAUUUCUCCAAAUUUGAACUCUGAAAAAUAUGUAGCACAACUGUAUCCUCGUACUCUUUCAUUGCUACCCACACUGUCAUCAACUAAUAAUUCUCUCUCGAGCUAAGCAUGAAGAUGUUGCAAAUAAUUUUCUCUCUCUCACGUACAAUCUGCAUCUCCUGGAUCUCUCGUUAUUAUCUUGAGUUCUAACUAUCCUAAAACAACAAUAUAAAUACAAUGCCUUGGAUAAUCUAAUUUUUAAUACCUUGGUUUCAAAUUUGAAAUAUUGGAAUCCAGACAUGAUUUUGGAGUUGAAUUGAAUGUUUUAAACCAAUAGUCUAUGACAUUUUUUGCAUCUGAAUCCAUAUCUAUUAUGAUCUUGGUCAUGUUUGGAUUUUGCAUUCCUUAAUCAUAUUUUGUUUCUACUCAUAUGGGAUUGUCUUUGAUAACCUUUGUUACCACAAACAAAUAAUUGCAUUCAGCAUGAUCAAAAAAUUAAGACCCCUGAGGAUGCUUGAUAAUAUUUAGCAAUGAAAUUAGUAUUUUCCAAAUCAAUGAUUCUUAUCAUAGGCAAAGAAGAUGUCUUGCCCUCAUUAUGGAUCCUUACAUAAUUGAAGUCCUUAAUGGAGGAUUGUUUGUUUGGUUCCAUGAUGAUCUUUUGUUUUUAUUUUUUGAUUUGUUUGCUGAGGAAGUGGUAUAUAGAAUAGAUAGCUAUUCGCGACUAUCUAGGGUGGAUUGACUACCUUGUAUGUGUUACUUUUAUGAAGUCGGUUUUUAGAUUUUGGAUACUGAAUAGGUUACCAACUGUGGCCUUUUUGCCACUAGAAUCUUCUUGAUAGUCAAUACUUUGCAGUUACUUUGUAGUACGUAGAUGACUGUUCGUAAGCCAAGUUUUAUGAGAUGGAGUAUUUUGUGAUUGCUAGUUCUUGCUUUGGGGCAUCUCAGGGGUAAAUGUAAUGUUGAUCAGAGCACUUAUUUUGUUGGUGUGUGAAUAUAAAAAUACCUUUUGGCCCUGUAGGAAGUCAGAGUGUUUUAUCGUGGCUUGGCGUUGUGCCGAUGUUUCUUAUAUAAAAGGGCUUAAACUGUGUCAUUCAAGAGGUGGUGCACAAAUUGAUGUGGAAUCAAGAUUUGUCGUACCAGAUAGGAUCAGUGCAUACCGAUCGUAUACCAGUAUGAAUCGAUAUAUGCGAUACAAAGAGCGUGCCGAUACUUGGUACGUCAAAAUCUUUCACACCAAGGGUGUCAAACAGCUGCACUCAUUCCAAGCCGAACUAUGGCAGUCACAUGUGACUUUGCAUGGAGAACUUCUUGUAGAAGAAUUCACUUUGUCCGCAGCUAAGCAGACGCCAUAGCCAGCCAGUGCUUAUUUCAUAUACACAUUGACUCUUCUUAGCAAAUGUUAAAAGAUUUAUUUUGGCAGAUUGGUUUUGAUUUUACGUGUGUAUAUUUGGUAAAAGGACAUGAUGUUGCUUUUGAUUUUGUUUAAGAUCUGGUAAAGAGGCAUGAUAUGGCUAUUAGUUAUGGUGGUUAAUCCAUUUCACAAAUAAAUUCAAGCACUUAUAAUGCUGUUCAUCUAGGGUUUAGGGUUAUGGGAUCAAGCCCCAUUUUUAUUCCUCCAGCACAGCUCUCAUUUCUGUUUGUAUUAUUGACUUUCAUAUAUUUAACUCUAUGAUUG